UAGAGCUUGGACUGUUCUGGAUUAGCUAACAAAUUAAGAUUCUGGUGCUGAAAGUUGAAUAUGUGACCCUAAUUAACA
Molecule: unclassified non-coding RNA, 78 nt
Organism: Ictidomys tridecemlineatus (thirteen-lined ground squirrel)
Lineage: Eukaryota; Metazoa; Chordata; Mammalia; Rodentia; Sciuridae
Source: Ensembl